RNAcentral lists this ribosomal RNA (497 nucleotides) under uncultured bacterium. RNAcentral describes it as "partial 16S ribosomal RNA". It matches the Rfam family "Bacterial small subunit ribosomal RNA", at positions 28 to 507 of the family's 1533-position model. The record is from RNAcentral.
GAUGAACGCUGGCGGCGUGCCUAAUACAUGCAAGUCGAGCGAACGGACGAGAAGCUUGCUUCUCUGAUGUUAGCGGCGGACGGGUGAGUAACACGUGGAUAACCUGCCUAUAAGACUGGGAUAACUUCGGGAAACCGGAGCUAAUACCGGAUGAUAUUUUGAACCGCAUGGUUCAAAAGUGAAAGACGGUCUUGCUGUCACUUAUAGAUGGAUCCGCGCUGCAUUAGCUAGUUGGUAAGGUAACGGCUUACCAAGGCAACGAUGCAUAGCCGACCUGAGAGGGUGAUCGGCCACACUGGAACUGAGACACGGUCCAGACCCCUACGGGAGGCAGCAGUAGGGAAUCUUCCGCAAUGGGCGAAAGCCUGACGGAGCAACGCCGCGUGAGUGAUGAAGGUCUUCGGAUCGUAAAACUCUGUUAUUAGGGAAGAACAUAUGUGUAAGUAACUGUGCACAUCUUGACGGUACCUAAUCAGAAAGCCACGGCUAACUACGUG